GGAGAUUUGCUCGAGUGGCUGAAGAGGUAUCCCUGGAAAGGAUAUAGGCGACUAAAUCGUCUCGAAGGUUCGAAUCCUUCAGUCUCCG
Molecule: transfer RNA, 88 nt
Filed under: Phage sp. ctL4h4
Description: tRNA-Ser
Rfam family: tRNA
About the family: Transfer RNA (tRNA) molecules are approximately 80 nucleotides in length. Their secondary structure includes four short double-helical elements and three loops (D, anti-codon, and T loops).
Source: RNAcentral